CAGCACUCUGGGAUCGCCUCCUGGGAACCAGGGGAACAUCUGGUGAAACGCAUUACAUAUUGAAGUGGGGGCACCAUCACGGUGGUGGUGGAGGAGGAAAUUCAGGCAGCUUUAACGGCAACAACGCAGGAGGUGGCAGCUUCAACGGCAAUGGG
Long non-coding RNA from Hemicordylus capensis (graceful crag lizard), 155 nucleotides. RefSeq lists it as uncharacterized. NCBI's taxonomy places the organism in Eukaryota, Metazoa, Chordata, Lepidosauria, Squamata, Cordylidae. The record is from RefSeq and is a predicted model, not a curated record. The transcript is spliced from 3 exons.